GGACGAACUAUGAGGCAAAUCAAGCAACUUAGGAAAGGAUUAAAGGAGACCAUGCUGUGGCCACUACUUUGUCAGCGUCCGGAUGUGCUUCCAGUCAUUUUCCCACCAGAGAAAAAUUAUGUGUUGACCCCAGUGUGUGUCAUAAACAGCAUCAGCUGGCCUUCCAUGGUGGAAAAUGAUGAUGAAGAUGACAAUGAUGACGAAUGCUCUUUGGAGGAUAAGAGCCGAAUUGCUGGCUACCUUCGUCAGUUCAUUGAAAGUGAAAGCUGCUGACCGACCAGCCCGCCACCCGAAGCACCGGACACCGAAUCCCCGUGCACUCAGCCGGCCGGCAAACAGGAUCACGCAGCACCGAGGACGAGCACCUGACACCUCUGGCACCUUCACGGUUACACCGAAUUAUUAAUAAAUACACCCUCCGGGGCUGCACUUUUCACUCCAACCUGUCGUGUGAUUCUUCAGCCCGCCACACUGGUGGAGAAUGCGGGCAGAUUGCUGAAGAAUCACGGACCCACACGACUCUACGGUCUCACC
This is a long non-coding RNA of Cyprinus carpio carpio, 534 nucleotides long. The record is from Ensembl. NCBI's taxonomy places the organism in Eukaryota, Metazoa, Chordata, Actinopteri, Cypriniformes, Cyprinidae.